This is an RNA transcript of Carcharodon carcharias (great white shark), 5307 nucleotides long. It is a transcript of the gene named RNA binding motif protein X-linked, with no coding region annotated. NCBI's taxonomy places the organism in Eukaryota, Metazoa, Chordata, Chondrichthyes, Lamniformes, Lamnidae. The record is from RefSeq and is a predicted model, not a curated record. The transcript is spliced from 12 exons.
CGGCGCCCAUUUGCUUUUGUGGCGCAGACGGAGGCAGCGGUCGGCUGGUAUAUUCUCUGCUUAAGAAGGUCAGAAUUGCAACACUCCAGGUGAUUGUCAAAAUGGUGGAAGCAGAUCGUCCUGGAAAGCUCUUCAUUGGUGGUCUGAAUACUGAAACAAAUGAAAAGGCACUUGAAGCAGUGUUUGGCAAAUAUGGAAGAAUAGUAGAAGUUCUGCUGAUGAAAGAUCGUGAAACAAAUAAGUCGAGGGGUUUUGCUUUUGUUACUUUUGAAAGUCCAGGAGAUGCAAGGGAUGCAGCCAGGGAUAUGAAUGGAAAGUCUUUGGAUGGAAAACCCAUUAAAGUAGAGCAAGCUACUAAACCAGCAUUUGAAAAUAGUGGACGACGUGGACCACCCCCACCCCCAAGAAGCCGUGGUCCUCCUAGGGGGAUUCGAGGUGGAAGAGGAGGUAGUGGAGGAAUGAGAGGUCCACCUCAAAAAGGUGAGCACGGUGAAUGGAUUCAGGAGAUAGAACAGUGCUACCUUAAGAGGAAUGUACAUUUCUUUAGGAGUCCUGACCCGCAGGAUGAUAUGGGAGCAUACACUGUCUCCUCCAGAGGGCCACCAAUGAAAAGGGGUCCCCCAGGACGUGCAAAUGGACCACCACCUAAAAGGCCCCUUCCUUCAGGGCCAAUGCGAAGUGGAGGAAUGGGUGGAAGAGGAAGUGGUUCAAGAGGACCUCCCUCACGUGAAAGGGAUAGUUAUGGUUCGCCUCCAUCUCGCAGAGAGAUGAUGCCAUCAAGAAGAGAUGAUUAUAUGCCAAGAGAGGAUUACUACAACAGCAGAGACAGUUAUUCUAGCAGAGAUUAUCCAAGUUCUAGAGACACAAGAGAUUAUGGUCCACCACCAAGAGACUCCUACAGUUCUCGUGAAUAUUCUCACUCUGGGCGUGAUGAUUAUGGAUCUCGAGGAUACAGUGAUCGAGAUGGAUAUGGUGGACGUGAGCCACGUGACUAUUACAACGAUCGACCAAGUGGUGGCUCCUACAGAGAUUCCUAUGAUGGCUAUGGGUGAGGAUGUAGAAUAAUUUUUUGGCAAUAUUGGCAUGUGGAAUUCUGUGCUAGUUGGAGAUUGGUACCCUUGGUAUAUGAAAAACAUCACAGCUAACCAGAUCAAAGUGGCAUCUGGAUUGGAAUGAUGUAGCUGUCAAAGAAUAUUGAAAGGAAACACUGGACCAGCAUACGUGGAGUAUUAGUGUGCAGCUUUGACUUAAAUAAAAGUGGAAGCAUAAGUGCUCAUCUUUUAAAGUAUAGUGUUCUGUGUACUCUGGUCAUUAACAUACUAUGCUCAGUGCUAUUAGAACUAUAAAGAAUGGGCAAUUGAACAAAAGGCUGCAGUGAUUGAUAGAAUGGUACCUCAGCAUGAAUGUGAUUUUUGUGGAGACGGGGACCAGGAAUUUCAGACUUCUGCUAAACCCAUUUUGUACAUUGGAUAGAAAGAUUGGAAAUGCAUAAGCCAGUCCAUUAUCUGAAAUGAUUUUUCAGCAUUGACCCAUUGUUCCUCAGGGGUCAGGGUUGAGACCCUAGCUAUUUCUGAUAUAUUAACAAUUGGUGUACAGGACACACAGAUGAUAUGGAACUUAGAAGCAUAGUGAACUGAGGAUAGUGUAGAACUUCAAAAGGACAGACUGGUGGAAUGGGUGGAUAGAUUGCUGAUGAAGUCCAAUGUGGAGAAAUGUGAAGUGAUUCAUUUCGGUCAGAAGAACAGAAUAUAAAAUGGUACAAUUCUAAAGGGGAUGCAGAGCAGAGGGAUCUGCGUGCAUGUCAUUAAAGGUGACAGGACAGGUUGAGAGUUGUUAAUGAAGCAUACGUAUACUGUAUCCUAGGCUUUAUGAAUGGGGGUAUAGAGUACAAGAGCAAGGAGAUUAUGUUGAACUUAAGACAUUAGUUUGGCCUCAGCUGGAGCAUUGCAUUCAGUUCUGGGUGCCACUUUAGGAAAGAUGUGAAUGCAUUGGGGAGAGUGCAGAAAAGAUUCAUGAAUGGUUUAAGCGAUGUAUAUCUUCAGUCAUGAAGAUGGUUUGGAGAAAACUGGGACUGUUUUCCUUGGAGAUUGAAGAAAGUGGAGAAGAUUUGAUAGAGGUGUUCAAAAUCAUGAGGGACUGGAGAGAGUAGAUGGGGAGAAAUUGUUCCCACUUGUGAAAGGAUCACAGAUGUCAGAGGGCACAGAUUUGAAGUAAUUAGCAAAAGUGGUUAUGUUCUGGAAUGCACUGCCUGUGUGGUGGAGGCAGGUUCAAUUGAAUCAUCUGAAAAGGAAGAACCUGCUGAGUUACAGGGAGAAGGCAGGAGAAUGGCAAUGUGAAUUGCUCAGUUGUGGUAGAUUUGAGGAAAGUGGGAGAAGGUGCAAAUGGAGCAUUAAUACCAGUAUGGACUGGUUGGACCAAAUAGCCUGGCUCUGUGCUGUAUAUCCAUGUAAAAUGAAGAUUGUGGGUUUGACAGGGUAGAUGCUGAGGUUCCUUCAAGUGUCAUAAUCUCAAGGGCUGACAUUAGGACAGAUCAAAUUUUUCUUCCUCCCCACUCAAGGCCCAUGAAUGCCUAGUAAUUGAAUAUUGAAGUAUGAAAUCUAUUUAUGGGCACUAAGCAAAGAUAUAGCAGGGAAGUGGAGUUGAUGUAGAUUUCAACAUUGAUUUUAUUGAAGGGCAGAACAGGCUCACUAUAUCAAACUCUUCUUGCAUCCUACUGAUGGAACACUUAUUGGCUGUCCAUCAGGAUAUUGUAGGGCUGUGCCUGUGGUAAUUCCCGUGGCUGAUUCUCGGAACUUUAACUUCAUUUUAGGAGCUCAGGAUAUGUGCUGCUUCACUUAGAAGGGGUCAACAUAAACUACUGGAUUAGGAGAAGCUUCAGAAAGGAGCAUAACUGACAAGUAGUAAUAGAAGCCUUUUUAAAAAAGGACAAUGAAACUGAUGCAAGUAAAUGUUAAGACUUUGGUAAGGGUAGUCAAUCAAGUUGUUUUUGUUUGCAUACACAAUUACUAGGUAAUGGCUGCUUUUGUACACAAGUAUUAGUCAAUACUGCUGCACCAGUCAACACUUCUGUCCAGUCAAGGAAUCGAAGUAUUGGCAACAGUGCAAUCAGAUAGCACUUGCUUAGCAAUAACCUGCUCAUUGAUGCUCAGUUUGGGCUUUGCCAGGACCACAUGGCUCCAGACCUUGUUAAAGCCUUGUUCCAAAAUGGACAAAAGAGCUGAAUUCUAGAGCAGUGACUGCCCUUGACAUCAAGGCUGCGUUUGACAGAAUACAGCAUCAAGGAGCUCUAGUAAAAUUGACGUUGUGGGGAAUGAGGGUACAAAUCCCAGUCGGAGUUAUACCUAGCACAAAGGAAGAUGGUUGGCCUCCAGCAACCACAAUCAUCUCAGCCUCCGGAUAUCGCUGCAGGAUUUCCUCAGUGUCUUAAGUCCAAUCAUCUUCAACUGCUUCAGUCAGAUGUUCCCUCCAUUAUAAGAUCAGAAGUGGGGAUGUUUGCUGAUCCCCCAACUGCACAGAUGCAGGCAGCAAGACCUGGACUAUAUUCAGGCUUGGGUUAAGUGGGCAUGUAAUGUGUGCUACAUAAGUUUCAGGCAAUGACCAUCUCCAACAAGGGAAAGUUAAAACAACACCUUGAUAUUUAUAGCGGUGCCAUUGUUAAAUUCCUCCACUAUGAACAAGCCAAUAAAAUAGCUUGGGCUCUUGGUUGUCUUAUGAGGCAUUGAUUACAAAGCAGGAAAGUUAUGCUGAACCUUGAUGGAUCUCUGGUUAGACCACAACUGGAUUAUUGUCCAGUCCUGGUCGCCACAAUUCAGAAUGUGAAAGUCCUUUAAAUGAUGCAUGGGAAAUUUACCGGACUGUUUUCAGGAAUAUGGAAUUUCAGCUAUGAGGUUGUUGAAAAUGCUGGAGUUUUCUUUUGAGUAAAGGUAAUGAGGGAAUAUUUGAUAAGUGAAUAAAAUUGGGGCAGGUUUAGAUAAAGAUUGAGAAAGUAAAGCUGUUCCUAUUAACUGAUGGUAUAACUAAGGAGCAGAGUUAAGGGUUUGGACAAGAGGGAGAAUGUGAAGAACACUAUUAUCCUUUAGGGAAGGAAAUCUGCUAUCCUUACCUGGUGUGGCCUAUACAUGACUCCAGAUCCUCUGAGUGAAGCUUAAUUGUUUGCUGAAUGGCCUAGCAAGCCACACGGUCAAGGGCAAUUAAGUAUAGGCAACAAAUGCUGGCCUUGCCAGUGAUGUCCACGUACCAUGAAAGUAUAAAUUUUAAGACAUUGGGCUAAUUGGAUUGCUCUACAAGAGAGCCAGCAUGGGAUCAGUGGGCUAAACAGAAUCAUGCUGUGCUGUUUUAAGAGGUCAGAGGCUGGGAAUUAUGCAAGUAACUUGGAGUCAGGAGGCAAAACCUUUCUAGUUUACCAUUGUGAGAUUUGAACUCUUGAUCUUGGGGUUGCAAGCCCAGUACCAUAACCACUUUGCUAUUUAGGCCAAACCCUUUCUAGUUUACAAGGCACAGGUUGAGGAGUGUUAGCAAUACUCUCCAAUUUCCUGGAUGAUUGCAGCUCCAACAACAUUCAAACUUCCAGAACUACUUGCUUCCAGGACAAAGCAGCCAAGUGAUUGGCACUACUUUCACCAUCCACAGAAUGCAUCUGCAGUAUGUAACAUUUACAUGCACUGCAGCAGCCCCCAAAUCCACAGCUAAGUUUUUAGAAAGAAAUUGCACGAAGGGUGAAGACACAGGUGUAGUGUUUGGCUGAGGGUUUGAAAUAGUUGUAGUGAGGCCCCAUUUUACAACUUAUAGCAAAAUGUUAGUUGUUUGGUAUGUGAAGAAGUGGUUGGUGCAGUUCAAAGCUGAAGAAUUGGAAAGAUUCAAAUUAGCUGCAACCACUUCACUCUGACUAUAGUUGCAGCAUGUCAAAUUUAUUAUUUUCUAAUAACCUGGAUAUAGGAAUUUAUAAUAAAGUUUGACAGCAGUAGAAUGGAGUAUUUGUGGAAAGACUGCAGUUAAAAUUUAUAGAUGCCUAACCUAGGGAAACUGGAAUUUAAAUUGGCAUGCAAGAAGUCUCUUAAAAUGAGUUAACAUCUUAAGUUAUCUGAUUUAUGGGUGACAGCUUCCAGAUUACAGCUGUUAACUUCAAAGAAUCUGGCCUUGUGUUGGAAAACCCAAAUGGCAAUCCUUUGGAAUGUAUGCAGUUACCAAACUGCAUUUUGGUUUGAGACCAUAAUUCAAAAUAUCCUGUAUUUCAGAGAAAUGUUUGUAAAGGUUGUGUAUUUUUGACAACAAGGUCUCUUAAAUUUUGCAAUAAAUUUGACUUGUGAA